RNAcentral lists this ribosomal RNA (571 nucleotides) under Euphorinae sp. NM-2007. RNAcentral's name for it is "eukaryotic LSU rRNA". It matches the Rfam family "Eukaryotic large subunit ribosomal RNA", at positions 431 to 781 of the family's 3401-position model. The record is from RNAcentral. Lineage: Eukaryota; Metazoa; Arthropoda; Insecta; Hymenoptera; Braconidae.
CAUCGUCAGCUCACUUGAUAUAUGUGCAAGUUAUGAUAUAAGUUAUCCUUGUGGUAACUAUAAUACAUUCUUGUAUCAUUUAUUGUUGAGUGUGUCGGCGUGCACUUCUUCCCUAGUAGGACGUCGUGACCCGUUGGGUGUUGUUCUAUGGCUCAAAUGGUAGUCUUUGAUUAAUUUUUAAUUAAAGACCAUUGAUGUACCUGAUCAACUGCUCGACGGUAUUCACAUGGUAUUGAGUCGCAAUAUUCAUUUGCGUCAAGCUCAUUGCAAGCGCGGUUAUCAUUCAGUAGUACGGAUUUUAUGCCGUCAUUGAUGAUAACCAGUUGUUGGUUAAUGAUGUUCUUUGACUGACUCUACUUUUACCGGUCAACGACGCUACUGCUUUGGGUACUUUCAGGACCCGUCUUGAAACACGGACCAAGGAGUCUAACAUGUACGCGAGUCAUUGGGUAUUAUUUUUUAAUUAAACCUAAAGGCGUAAUGAAAGUAAAGGUCGUCUUUGUGUCGACUAAGAGAAGAUGAGUUGCAUUAUGAUGACAGCUCCGCAUUCUCAGGGCGUUUCAUUUUCAUU